GAUGUCUGGAUAUCAAAUCAAGCCUUCUCAAGACUAUGUUUCAACUUUAGUGACGUCAUUACCUUGCCUGUUGUUCGCUGCUUUCUCUCUGGAGGAGCGAAAGUUACUGCACAGGGUGCAGGCAGAAGAGAAACUGUCUGGAGGCGGAAACAGUCACAGUUCUUUUGGAUUCCCUGAACAAACAAAUUCCUGGGAACGUAACAUCUGAAUUGAACCAUUCAUACCAAUCCUGAAAAGAGUUACCGGAGUGCUCCUGCAGAUGUUUCCUGACUCCCACCAGUUUCAGAUUUAAUGACUCCACUCUUCUCAGAUUUUUGUGCCAACUCCUGCCGACUGACUGCAGCCACUGCAGAAUGAUUUAGACUUUCCCCGACUGGAAAUCAGAGUCUUAUUUUCCCCAUCACUGUCAGUGGGGAAUGAAGACCAUCUGCAGCCCUUCUGCCCCCUGACAUCUGGAGAUGGGUUCAGAGACCGAAACACGCAGUCUCUUUACAGUAAAGCACUAGAAAAGAAGGAAAGGAGAUGAGGAAUGAGCUAGAGGGUGGGACGAGAGGAAAAAAUGUAGAGUGCUGUUAGAACAGAUUUAACUCUCCUCAGGUAAGCGAUUAAGCUGGUUAUUAAAGCAAAGUAGAGAAGCUACUUUAUUGAAAACCCUAUGGCCUUUCUCAUUAGGAAACUACUUGCUGAGCUGCCUCUGUUUCUGCCAGAGGCCUUUUUUAUUAUCAAUAGUUCUUUUUUAAUGACCCCAUAUGUCUGUCGAUUUUGAGGCACAAUGGAAAGAAAGACAGUGCUAAACGACUGACCAUCAGAUAAAAUACAAUAGGAGCAGGCAGAGCAAUAAAAAAAACAGGUUUCUUUCUUUUUUAGUAUUGCUUAGUAUGGCUCUUUUUUUGAAUACUUUUUAUCAUUUUCAGAUUACAAGUGCAUGGAAAGAUGUCCAUCACUGCAUCUUUGCAGAAAAAAAUGAUCAAAAAAGUCUGUCUUGUUAUUUCUUUGAACCAGGUUAAAGAUGAAGUCAUGUUUAAUACAUUUAAAUGCUCCUCAUUCACAUGCUGGUCACUGAAUCCCUCCAGAACCGGAGAAUUAAUUUCCAUACAUCAGAGUUGCUCUGUCGACUUCGUUUAUUGUAAUAAAAUAUAUGAUCUGUGUUAUCCA
Long non-coding RNA from Girardinichthys multiradiatus, 1155 nucleotides. RefSeq lists it as uncharacterized. Lineage: Eukaryota; Metazoa; Chordata; Actinopteri; Cyprinodontiformes; Goodeidae. The record is from RefSeq and is a predicted model, not a curated record. The transcript is spliced from 4 exons.